RNAcentral lists this ribosomal RNA (253 nucleotides) under uncultured bacterium. RNAcentral describes it as "partial 16S ribosomal RNA". It matches the Rfam family "Bacterial small subunit ribosomal RNA", at positions 524 to 776 of the family's 1533-position model. The record is from RNAcentral.
UACGUAGGGGGCAAGCGUUGUCCGGAUUUAUUGGGCGUAAAGAGCGUGUAGGCGGCUAGGUAGGUCCGUUGUGAAAACUCGAGGCUCAACCUCGAGACGUCGAUGGAAACCAUCUGGCUAGAGUCCGGAAGAGGAGAGUGGAAUUCCUGGUGUAGCGGUGAAAUGCGCAGAUAUCAGGAAGAACACCCGCGGCGAAGGCGGCUCUCUGGGACGUUACUGACGCUGAGACGCGAAAGCGUGGGGAGCAAACAGG